This 1205-nucleotide ribosomal RNA is filed under the name Capsicum annuum. Its description in RNAcentral is "SSU rRNA". It matches the Rfam family "Eukaryotic small subunit ribosomal RNA", at positions 594 to 1823 of the family's 1831-position model. Lineage: Eukaryota; Viridiplantae; Streptophyta; Magnoliopsida; Solanales; Solanaceae. The record is from RNAcentral.
AUAGCGUAUAUUUAAGUUGUUGUAGUUAAAAAGCUCAAAGUUGGACUUUGGGAUUGGCCGUCCGGUUCGCCUAUGGUGUGCAUUGGUCAUCUCGUCCCUUCCAUCGGCGAUACGCUAUUGACCUUAACUGGCCGGGUCGUGCCUCCGACGUUGUUACUUUGAAGAAAUUAAAGUUCUUAAAGCAAGCGUACGCUCUGUAUACAUUAUCAUGGGAUAACAUUAUAGGAUUUCAGUCCUAUUACGUUGGCCUUCGAGAUCGGAGUAAUGAUUAUAGGGACAGUCGGGGGCAUUCGUAUUUCAUAGUCAGAGGUGAAAUAAUUGGAUUUAUGAAAUACGAACAACUGCGAAGGCAUUUUCCAAGGAUGUUUUCAUUAAUCAAGAAUGAAAGUUGGGGGCUUGAAGGCGGUCUGAUACCGUCCUAAUAUCAACCAUAAAUGAUACCGACCAGGGAUCGGUGGAUGUUGUUUUUAGGAAUAUGCUGGCACCUUAUGAGAAAACAAAGUUUUUGGGUUCCGGGGGGAGUAUGGUCGCAAGGCUGAAACUUAAAGGAAUUGAUGGAAGGGCACCACCAGGAGUGGAGCCUGUGGCUUAAUUUGACUCAACACGGGGAAACUUACCAGGUCCUGACAUAGUAAGGAUUGAUAGACUAAGAGCUCUUUCUUGAUUCUAUGAGUGGUGGUGCAUGGCCAUUCUUAGUUGGUGGAGUGAUUUGUCUGGUUAAUUCCGUUAACAAAUGAGACCUCAGGCUGCUAACUAGCUAUGCGGAGGUAUUCCUUUGCGGCCAGCUUCUUAGAGGGACUACGACAUUUCAGGACGCGGAAGUAUGACGUAAUAAUAAGUCUGUGAUGCCCUUAGAUGUUCUGGGCCGCACGCACACUACACUAAUGUAUUUAAUGAGUUUAUAGCCUUGGUCGACAGGCCCGGGUAAUCUUUGAAAUUUCAUCGUGAAGGGGAUAGAUCAUUGCAAUUAUUGAUCUUCAAUGAGGAAUUCCAAGUAAGCGCGAGUCAUCAGCUCGUGUUGACUAUGUCCUUGCCCUUUGUACCCACCGCCCGUCACUCAUACCGAUUGAAUGAUCCGGUAAAAUGUUCAAAUAUUGGCCACGUGGGUGGUUCACUGCCCGCGAAGUCGUGAGAAGUCCAUUGAACCUUAUCAUUUAGAGAAAGGAGAAUUCAUAUCAAGGUUUUUGUUGGUGAACCUGUGGAAG